RNAcentral lists this ribosomal RNA (604 nucleotides) under Escherichia coli. Its description in RNAcentral is "bacterial SSU rRNA". It matches the Rfam family "Bacterial small subunit ribosomal RNA", at positions 833 to 1437 of the family's 1533-position model. The record is from RNAcentral. Lineage: Bacteria; Pseudomonadati; Pseudomonadota; Gammaproteobacteria; Enterobacterales; Enterobacteriaceae.
UGAGGCGUGGCUUCCGGAGCUAACGCGUUAAGUCGACCGCCUGGGGAGUACGGCCGCAAGGUUAAAACUCAAAUGAAUUGACGGGGGCCCGCACAAGCGGUGGAGCAUGUGGUUUAAUUCGAUGCAACGCGAAGAACCUUACCUGGUCUUGACAUCCACGGAAGUUUUCAGAGAUGAGAAUGUGCCUUCGGGAACCGUGAGACAGGUGCUGCAUGGCUGUCGUCAGCUCGUGUUGUGAAAUGUUGGGUUAAGUCCCGCAACGAGCGCAACCCUUAUCCUUUGUUGCCAGCGGUCCGGCCGGGAACUCAAAGGAGACUGCCAGUGAUAAACUGGAGGAAGGUGGGGAUGACGUCAAGUCAUCAUGGCCCUUACGACCAGGGCUACACACGUGCUACAAUGGCGCAUACAAAGAGAAGCGACCUCGCGAGAGCAAGCGGACCUCAUAAAGUGCGUCGUAGUCCGGAUUGGAGUCUGCAACUCGACUCCAUGAAGUCGGAAUCGCUAGUAAUCGUGGAUCAGAAUGCCACGGUGAAUACGUUCCCGGGCCUUGUACACACCGCCCGUCACACCAUGGGAGUGGGUUGCAAAAGAAGUAGGUAGCUUA